UCAUUUGAUUUAAUGGAAGUCAGGAUUGUUAGUAAUGUGAGUAAGAAUCACUCACACAUAGUUUCAGGAACAGAUCGCAGUUCUGACUUCCACGUCUCUGCAUCCAAAGGCUCUUCUAUUACUUAGUAACACUAUCGAAAAGGACUUCACUGUGAUUAAUACCUAUAACAAAAUUUGCUCCUACUAGCAUGAAUACAGGUAAUGAAAUGCUAAUUGCUCAAAAAUUCAGUUUCAAAUCAGACAUGCAAUAAUGUGUUCAGAAGAUACUUAUCUAGUCUUAGAAUUAGUACAAUUUAAUUUAGUACAUUUAGAGUGAGUAUUUUUAAAAAUAAUUCUACUCAAUUGCGGCAUAAUGCAGUAUAAGAAUUGAACAUUCACUUAAUUAAACAUUCUACCAGUGUUGUCCCACAGCAUCAAUGAAGAGUGAGGUGAAGUUGAAAAUGUACGAAGAGAAAGACAGCAAGACGUGGAGGAGUGGGAGGCUUUUGCCAAUUUCAUAUUCUCCUGAGAUACCAGGAAAGAGUCUGUCAGACUCCAGAUCUUCCUUCUGUUUUACAUCGCUUCUCCUUUUCCAAGUUGGCAAAUAAACCUUCCCAGUAAAAAUUACAACAAUAAUUAAAAAAAUCCUUUUAUGUACCAAAUAAUGCAAAGCAUAGAGGUGCUAGAAGCCCCACAAAAUCCUGCCCUGGUAUAAGCCAGUCAGUAGCACAGCUGGAAAAUAGGAGAUUUUGCUAGAAAUGAAAAAUAGGCUACUCUGACUCUACUUAUCAUAUUAUGUAGUAUCUGUGUAAUGGAGAAGCUGAGGCUUCCUGAGCAUGGUAUAUUUAUGCUUCUGUAGAUAAAACACAUCAUAAUGAUCUAAGAUCUCGUCUUCAAGAAGUCACCUCUGCAGUAAAGUCACCUUCCAGUAAAGAUCAGAGUCGCACCCUCAGUCCACCCUACGUGGUCCCAACGCAGAUCUCCAGUAGAACCACUAAAUUAACUCAAAACGAGUUAAAACAAUUUUUCCACUUAACUCUUUGAGAACUAAGCACCCCAUAUAAAUCAAACUAUUCAGUAAGAGAGAUAUCGAGAAUGGGACUUAAUUUAUAGCUCCUGUUGUUUAAAUUCAUCAACAUGAUCCACAUGUUUUUCUAUAUAUACAAUGGUAAGUACUAAAAAGUAAGGAAACCCUCAGUUACACCAAAGCAAAAUUGCAAGUACACAAACUCCACUUUCCCAGCCAGUCAGUAGAGAUUUGCUAAAUAUACU
This 1251-nucleotide long non-coding RNA is filed under the name Numida meleagris (helmeted guineafowl). RNAcentral's name for it is "lncRNA (ENSNMEG00000018789.1)". The record is from RNAcentral. Lineage: Eukaryota; Metazoa; Chordata; Aves; Galliformes; Numididae.